GCUGGGUGUGGUGGCGCAUGCCUGUAAUCCCAGGGGCUUGGGAGGCUGCGGCAGCAGGAUUGUGAGUUCAAAGACAGCCUCAGCAAAAGCAACACAUUAAGCAACUCAGUGAGACCCUGUCUCUA
This 125-nucleotide small RNA is filed under the name Marmota monax (woodchuck). The record is from RNAcentral. Lineage: Eukaryota; Metazoa; Chordata; Mammalia; Rodentia; Sciuridae.